RNAcentral lists this ribosomal RNA (468 nucleotides) under uncultured bacterium. RNAcentral describes it as "partial 16S ribosomal RNA". It matches the Rfam family "Bacterial small subunit ribosomal RNA", at positions 28 to 507 of the family's 1533-position model. The record is from RNAcentral.
GACGAACGCUGGCGGCGUGCUUAACACAUGCAAGUCGAACGGAAAGGCCCUGCUUUUGUGGGGUGCUCGAGUGGCGAACGGGUGAGUAACACGUGAGUAACCUGCCCUGGACUUGGGGAUAACUUCAGGAAACUGGGGCUAAUACCGGAUAGGAGCUCCUGCUGCAUGGUGGGGGUGGGAAAGUUUCGGCGGUUGGGGAUGGACUCGCGGCUUAUCAGCUUGUUGGUGGGGUAGUGGCUUACCAAGGCUUUGACGGGUAGCCGGCCUGAGAGGGUGACCGGCCACAUUGGGACUGAGAUACGGCCCAGACUCCUACGGGAGGCAGCAGUGGGGAAUAUUGCACAAUGGGCGGAAGCCUGAUGCAGCAACGCCGCGUGCGGGAUGACGGCCUUCGGGUUGUAAACCGCUUUCGCCUGUGACGAAGCGUGAGUGACGGUAAUGGGUAAAGAAGCACCGGCUAACUACGUG